Molecule: ribosomal RNA, 270 nt
Filed under: uncultured archaeon
Lineage: Archaea
Description: partial 16S ribosomal RNA
Rfam family: Archaeal small subunit ribosomal RNA
Source: RNAcentral
CAGCACCUCAAGUGGUCAGGAUGAUUAUUAGGCCUAAAGCAUCCGUAGCCGGCGCUGUAAGUUUUCGGUUAAAUCUGUACGCUCAACGUACAGGCUGCCGGGAAUACUGCAGCGCUAGGGAGUGGGAGAGGUAGACGGUACUCGGUAGGAAGGGGUAAAAUCCUUUGAUCUAUUGAUGACCACCUGUGGCGAAGGCGGUCUACCAGAACACGUCCGACGGUGAGGGAUGAAAGCUGGGGGAGCAAACCGGAUUAGAGACCCGAGUAGUCC